GCUCAACCGAGGAAGUGCUUCGAAAACUGGUAAACUUGAGUGCAGAAGAGGAAAGUGGAACUCCAUGUGUAGCGGUGGAAUGCGUAGAUAUAUGGAAGAACACCAGUGGCGAAGGCGGCUUUCUGGUCUGUAACUGACGCUGAGAUUCGAAAGCAUGGGUAGCAAACAGGAUUAGAUACCCUGGUAGUCCAUGCCGUAAACGAUGAGUGCUAAGUGUUGGAGGGUUUCCGCCCUUCAGUGCUGCAGCUAACGCAUUAAGCACUCCGCCUGGGGAGUACGAUCGCAAGAUUGAAACUCAAAGGAAUUGACGGGGGCCCGCACAAGCGGUGGAGCAUGUGGUUUAAUUCGAAGCAACGCGAAGAACCUUACCAGGUCUUGACAUACCAUGAAAAGCUAAGAGAUUAGUCUUUCCCUUCGGGGACAUGGAUACAGGUGGUGCAUGGUUGUCGUCAGCUCGUGUCGUGAGAUGUUGGGUUAAGUCCCGCAACGAGCGCAACCCUUAUUAUCAGUUGCCAGCAUUCAGUUGGGCACUCUGGUGAGACUGCCGGUGACAAACCGGAGGAAGGUGGGGACGACGUCAAAUCAUCAUGCCCCUUAUGACCUGAGCUACACACGUGCUACAAUGGUCGGUACAACG
This 637-nucleotide ribosomal RNA is filed under the name uncultured bacterium. Its description in RNAcentral is "bacterial SSU rRNA". It matches the Rfam family "Bacterial small subunit ribosomal RNA", at positions 607 to 1244 of the family's 1533-position model. The record is from RNAcentral.